RNAcentral lists this long non-coding RNA (431 nucleotides) under Mytilus galloprovincialis (Mediterranean mussel). The record is from RNAcentral. Lineage: Eukaryota; Metazoa; Mollusca; Bivalvia; Mytilida; Mytilidae.
AGACGUUGCGCACGAUAUUGGUGUCACUUUGGAAAUAUGGGUUAGAAGGCGGGUUAUUCAAAUUCAAGCUCUUAUCCUAUACAAUAAAUAUCCAUGUUAUGCAUAUCAUUCGAAAGGAAAUAAACCACAGAAAUCAAUAACAUAGAUGAUUUUGUGCUUUGUCUAUUUUUUAAUGAAAAACUUUGCUCAUUUCGAUGCCUAUAACGUCAUUUCAAGGGUGUCCCGCUGUUACAAUUUUGUUUUAUGUGAGUCUUUAAAAUCCCAGUGCGGAUUCAUUAGUAAGUAGAAUGGUUAAAAAUUUUGCAAUUGUUUUGUAUACAUUUAACUUAAAAUGAAGUAACAGACGUUUUUAACUUUAAGAGAAGGAAGAUCGUCAAAAGAGUUUAAAUAAAAAAGAGAAAAAAUGUCCCAAUUAGCUGCUCAACCCGUAA